AAGUCGUAACAAGGUUUCCGUAGGUGAACCUGCGGAAGGAUCAUUGUCGAAACCUGCAAAGCAGACCGCGAACACGUUUCAUAACAACUAUAGGGGUCGCGUCGCGGGGGGAAACCACCCGUCGCGAUCCCUUACUCGCCCGUCGUGCGCAUUAGUGUGCGACGUGUGGGCUAACAAAAACCCGGCGCGGGAUGCGCCAAGGAAAAUAAAUCAACGAAGCGUUCCACCCUCUGCUCACCCGUUUGCGGUGUGUGCAGAGAGGAGCGGACGUCUCUUGAAUGUCAAAACGACUCUCGGCAACGGAUAUCUCGGCUCUCGCAUCGAUGAAGAACGUAGCGAAAUGCGAUACUUGGUGUGAAUUGCAGAAUCCCGUGAACCAUCGAGUCUUUGAACGCAAGUUGCGCCCGAAGCCAUUAGGCCGAGGGCACGUCUGCCUGGGCGUCACGCAUCGCGUCGCCCCUCUCACCCGCUUCCCAUUGGGUCAUCGGCGUGAGUGGGGCGGAUACUGGCUUCCCGUGCGCUCAAGUGUGCGGUUGGCCCAAAUGCGAUCCCGCGGCGACGCACGUCACGACCAGUGGUGGUUGAACACUCAACUCGCGCAACUGUCGUGCAACGACGUCGUCCGUCCGGGUAUCACAACGACCCGAUAGCUCGUGCUCAUGCAUGCGCUUCCGACCGCGACCCCAGGUCAGGCGGGAUU
RNAcentral lists this ribosomal RNA (700 nucleotides) under Verbena urticifolia (white vervain). RNAcentral describes it as "eukaryotic LSU rRNA". The stretch from base 289 to 444 matches the Rfam family "5.8S ribosomal RNA". Lineage: Eukaryota; Viridiplantae; Streptophyta; Magnoliopsida; Lamiales; Verbenaceae. The record is from RNAcentral.